RNAcentral lists this ribosomal RNA (426 nucleotides) under uncultured prokaryote. RNAcentral's name for it is "bacterial SSU rRNA". It matches the Rfam family "Bacterial small subunit ribosomal RNA", at positions 355 to 796 of the family's 1533-position model. The record is from RNAcentral.
UGGGGAAUUUUCCGCAAUGGGGGGAACCCUGACGGAGCAACGCCGCGUGCGGGAGGACGGCCUGUGGGUUGUAAACCUCUUUUCUCAAGGAAGAAGCACUGACGGUACUUGAGGAAUCAGCAUCGGCUAACUCCGUGCCAGCAGCCGCGGUAAUACGGAGGAUGCAAGCGUUAUUCGGAAUUAUUGGGCGUAAAGCGUCCGCAGGUGGUGCCUCAAGUCUGCUGUCAAAGACCGAAGCUCAACUUCGGGCAGGCAGUGGAAACUGAAGCACUAGAGUACGGUAGGGGUAGAGGGAAUUUCCAGUGUAGCGGUGAAAUGCGUAGAGAUUGGAAAGAACACCAGUGGCGAAGGCGCUCUACUGGACCGUAACUGACACUCAGGGACGAAAGCUAGGGGAGCGAAAGGGAUUAGAUACCCCUGUAGUCC